AAGGAAAAGUUGGGAGAAGGAGGCUUUGGUUCUGUGUAUAAAGGAACUCUUCGUAGCGGCCAUGUUGCUGCCAUAAAGAUGCUGAGUAACUCUAAAACUAAUGGGCAAGAUUUUAUCAAUGAAGUUGCUACCAUUGGAAGGAUUUACCAUACUAAUGUAGUUCAACUAAUUGGCUUUUGUGUCGAGGGAUCAAAGCGCGCUCUUAUUUAUGAUUUCAUGCCUAAUGGAUCUCUUGACAAGUACAUGUGUUCUCAUGAGGGAUCUUUCUCCUUAAGUUGGGACAAGUUAUAUGAAAUUUCUCUUGGAGUAGCUCGUGGCAUUGAAUAUUUGCAUAAAGGUUGUGACAUGCAAAUUCUACAUUUUGAUAUCAAGCCACACAAUAUUCUUCUUGAUGAGAAUUUCAUUCCAAAGAUUUCUGACUUUGGACUUGCUAAACUAUAUGCAACAAAUGAUAGCAUUAAGUCUCUCACUGCAGCAAGAGGAACAAUAGGAUACAUGGCACCAGAGUUAUUCUAUAGAAACAUUGGUCCUGUCUCAUACAAAGCAGAUGUCUAUAGUUUUGGAAUGCUGUUACUAGAAAUGGCAGGUAAAAGGAAGAAUUUGAAUGCAUUGGCAGCACAUUCAAGUGAAACUUACUUUCCGUUUUGGGUUUAUGAUGAAGUCUCUAAUGGGAAGGUUGUAGUAAUUGGUGAUGCCGCAGAGGAGUCAAAUAAAAUAGCUAAGAAGAUGGUUAUGGUAGGCCUGUGGUGUAUACAAAUGAAACCAAACAAUCGCCCUCCAAUGAACAAAGUCAUAGAGAUGCUUGAAGGAGAUCUUGAAGGUCUACAAUUGCCUUCAAGGCUUUCUCUAUGUCCACAAGAAAGUAUAUUGGAAGAUGGAGAAGAGUCCCCGUCCAUGUCAAUUGACUUUUCAGAAUCAUCUAGUUUGAUUGAAAAUGCAUCUUAAAAUUAUUUGAGGGAGUUAUUGUACUUGGCAAAUUAACGGACCAUCAGAACUCAGAGAAGUAACUAUUUAAACCGAAAUGAACCAAUUAACCCGGUGCUUUCUGCUUAGUAAUAUUUUUCUCAUGCUUGUCUAUGGAACUACUGGACGAUCCUUUGCUAUAUGAUUGCUAUAUGAUUACUACUUGAUUGAUUAUUACAGACCAGCUCUAAUUAAGAUUUACCCUGCUUCUGUGAUGGCCUUCAACUCAUGGUGAAGUUUUCUUCUUGGGAUUCUUGCAUUCAUUCUUGUAACUCAUGGUGAAGUUUUCUUCUUGGGAUUCUUGCAUUCAUUCUUGUAGGAUUAGAAAAGCUGAAAGGAUUAGCAGGUAUUGAUAGACCGUCUCCUUCCCCAUACAGCAUUUGAGCAACCAUUUUCAUGGAAGGACGAUCCCCUGGAAUCUGCUAAAUGCACCAGUCCCCCAUAAUUGCAAGUUCCUUUGCAAUUUUUGCAUCUUCCACUUCCUAUGCAUCAAUCUGGAACGUUAGAUCGUCUGCUUCCUCCAAAAGAUUAUAAAUCCAUUAUGGGAAGUAUAUUUGAUCAGCAUUUCCUUGUUUAACAUCAACGGUCUUCCUUCCUCCAAUCAUAUCUAGCAUCCCAACAUUCCAAAACUACAAACAUGUGGCUUGCAGGAAACAUUCCUUAAUAACACUUCAUGAGCAAUGUAGCCAAUGGUUCCUCUAGCUAUUGUCAUGGACAAUGCACUUAAUUAGACCGUUUGAACACAACUUAGCCAGGCCAAAAUCUGAGAUUUUAAGAUUGAAGUUGUGGUCUGGAAAGAUAUUACAUGGAUUCAUGUCAAAAUGGUGGAAUUGUUGAGGACCUUAACAGCUUUCAUAAUUUUGACGUAGAACUUUCCUUUGAGCACAGUUCCAUAAGCUCUUCGGCCUACUUCCACCUUGAUAACAGCAUAGGAAUAUAUUUCAGGUCUGAUAUAUAUAUAUAUAUGUAAAGUGAAAUAAUACCUGCAAAUAAUGGAAUGUUUCUAAUCAAGAAGGCUUAUGUCCAAAAUAAUCAUUUAUUUUGUUUUGGAUUAAAAGUAAUCAACCCAAUUUAAUGCAGUAUAAAAGUAACCUGAUGCCACAAACUUUGCUG
Molecule: unclassified non-coding RNA, 2076 nt
Filed under: Hevea brasiliensis (rubber tree)
Lineage: Eukaryota; Viridiplantae; Streptophyta; Magnoliopsida; Malpighiales; Euphorbiaceae
Source: RNAcentral